AAACGUCUCAGUUCGGAUUGUAGUCUGCAACUCGACUACAUGAAGCUGGAAUCGCUAGUAAUCGCAGAUCAGAAUGCUGCGGUGAAUACGUUCCCGGGUCUUGUACACACCGCCCGUCACACCAUGGAAGUCUGCAAUGCCCGAAGCCGGUGGCCUAACCACUUAUGUGGAAGGAGCCGUCUAAGGCAGGGCAGAUGACUGGGGUGAAGUCGUAACAAGGUAGC
Molecule: ribosomal RNA, 224 nt
Filed under: uncultured bacterium
Lineage: Bacteria
Description: partial 16S ribosomal RNA
Rfam family: Bacterial small subunit ribosomal RNA
Source: RNAcentral